Heterocephalus glaber (naked mole-rat) is the source of this 103-nucleotide small nucleolar RNA. Lineage: Eukaryota; Metazoa; Chordata; Mammalia; Rodentia; Bathyergidae. The record is from Ensembl.
AUCUUUUGUGGUCCAUAAAUGUGAUGAUUGGGCUUCCACAUCAUUGUAUGAGAUGUGUUUCUCUCAAAGCUUGUUAUAAUGUUAAAAUAUUACCUGUCCGAUA